GAUGAAGAACGUAGCGAAAUGCGAUAACUAAUGUGAAUUGCAGAAUUCAGUGAAUCAUCGAGUCUUUGAACGCACAUUGUGCCCUCUGGUAUUCCGGAGGGCAUGCCUGUCCGAGCGUCAUUGCUGCCCUCCAGCCCGGCUGGUGUGUUGGGCCCCGUCCCCCUUCCCGGGGGGACGGGCCCGAAAGGCAGCGGCGGCACCGCGUCCGGUCCUCGAGCGUAUGGGGCUUUGUCACCCGCUCUUGUAGGCCCGGCCGGCGCCAGCCGACCCCCUCAAUCUAUUUUUCAGGUUGACCUCGGAUCAGGUAGGGAUACCCGCUGAACUUAAGCAUAUCAAUAAGCGGAGGA
RNAcentral lists this unclassified non-coding RNA (347 nucleotides) under soil metagenome. RNAcentral describes it as "partial contains 5.8S ribosomal RNA, internal transcribed spacer 2, and large subunit ribosomal RNA". The stretch from base 1 to 120 matches the Rfam family "5.8S ribosomal RNA", at positions 35 to 154 of the family's 154-position model. The record is from RNAcentral.